AGAGGGCCUGGUGGCGCCAGUGUCCGGCAGCCUCACCUCUGUCAGUGCACCCCAGGGUGGCUGUGGCUACAAUGUAGCUUGCCAUCACCAGUGUGUGAAUGGGUGGAUGACUGGAUAUGUAAAGCGCUUUUGGGGUCCUUAGGAACUAGUAAAGCGCUAUAUAAAUACAGGCCAUUUACCAUUUUACUGCUUCGAUUUGAUAGCCAUUUGCUCUCCUGCCGGAGGUUGCGGCUAAGCCAGCACAAGUUUUCAGGAUGUAGGGGUAUGAGCCAACUUCGAUUCCGAAUAAGUUGAAGAACUCUGACCUGGCUAGAGACUUGUUGCUCUGGUCAUCGAGCAUACAUUUUGAUGGCUUGUUGUGGGAACUCUUCAGGGUAAACCUUAACAAGACAUAUCUUGGAACAACAUUUUGACCUGGCAAAAUCGCCACAAACUUCAGUGCACAGAGGGCUUGCAACUGGUUCUGGGAUGGUGUCCUCUUUUUCCGGCUCCCCGCCGUCACCUGUUGGGGGACUUGAGGCCUUGGUGGACAGUUGUGGUGGACCAGGAUGAAGAGCUGUGAUGUGCUUGUCACUGUUGCACGAUGGGUUUGAUGCCACGGGCGGUAUCCAGGAAAGCUGUCCAACUUCCUAAAGAGAGCACUUUCGAUGACUUCUGGAGCACCGUAGCAUUCAUCAAGCCUGUCCCAGACCAUUUUGAGUUGUCAAUAUGAACUGCUGUUAGGCGCUUGACAUAUGCAGAAGAUUCCUUCCCAAGCCACUUUGAAAGUAAAUCCAGCUGUUCACUUGCAGUAAGGUCCAAACCCUUAAGCUGUUUUCAUCUUUCUGGGCUCUUUAAUCAUCUUGAAAUUACAAUGUCAGAAAAAGAAAAAGUGUUCUAAAAAAUCUGGUUGGAUUAAAAUACAUAAAAAUCAUGUUUAAACAACGAAACAUUUUGAUGGGUAUAAUUUCUGUGGAAACUGAAUCCAGAAAUGACUGUGUUGAGUCUGUUCCUUCCCAUUCCCUACAAGGCCACCUGGGUUGGCUGGAAGACUGUUUCAGCUGAACUAUGGACACGCAGUAUACAUAUACUGAUACUGAUAAGCAC
Astatotilapia calliptera (eastern happy) is the source of this 1086-nucleotide long non-coding RNA. The record is from Ensembl. Lineage: Eukaryota; Metazoa; Chordata; Actinopteri; Cichliformes; Cichlidae.